This 621-nucleotide ribosomal RNA is filed under the name fungal endophyte. RNAcentral describes it as "eukaryotic LSU rRNA". The stretch from base 177 to 330 matches the Rfam family "5.8S ribosomal RNA". The record is from RNAcentral. Lineage: Eukaryota; Fungi.
AUUACUGAGUUUACGCUCUACAACCCUUUGUGAACAUACCUAUAACUGUUGCUUCGGCGGGUAGGGUCUCCGUGACCCUCCCGGCCUCCCGCCCCCGGGCGGGUCGGCGCCCGCCGGAGGAUAACCAAACUCUGAUUUAACGACGUUUCUUCUGAGUGGUACAAGCAAAUAAUCAAAACUUUUAACAACGGAUCUCUUGGUUCUGGCAUCGAUGAAGAACGCAGCGAAAUGCGAUAAGUAAUGUGAAUUGCAGAAUUCAGUGAAUCAUCGAAUCUUUGAACGCACAUUGCGCCCGCCAGCAUUCUGGCGGGCAUGCCUGUUCGAGCGUCAUUUCAACCCUCAAGCUCUGCUUGGUGUUGGGGCCCUACAGCUGAUGUAGGCCCUCAAAGGUAGUGGCGGACCCUCCCGGAGCCUCCUUUGCGUAGUAACUUUACGUCUCGCACUGGGAUCCGGAGGGACUCUUGCCGUAAAACCCCCCAAUUUUCCAAAGGUUGACCUCGGAUCAGGUAGGAAUACCCGCUGAACUUAAGCAUAUCAAUAAGCGGAGGAAAAGAAACCAACAGGGAUUGCCUCAGUAACGGCGAGUGAAGCGGCAACAGCUCAAAUUUGAAAUCUGGCCCU